Molecule: ribosomal RNA, 254 nt
Filed under: uncultured microorganism
Description: partial 16S ribosomal RNA
Rfam family: Archaeal small subunit ribosomal RNA
Source: RNAcentral
CACCGGCGGCUCGAGUGGUGGCCACUUUUAUUGGGUCUAAAGCGUCCGUAGCCGGCUUGGCAAGUCCCCUGGGAAAUCUGGCGGUUUAACCGUCAGGCGUCCAGAGGAUACUGCCAGGCUUGGGACCGGGAGAGGUGAGAGGUACCUCAGGGGUAGGGGUGAAAUCUUGUGAUCCCUGAGGGACCACCAGUGGCGAAGGCGUCUCACUAGAACGGGUCCGACGGUCAGGGACGAAAGCUGGGGGCACGAACCGG